Molecule: ribosomal RNA, 253 nt
Filed under: uncultured bacterium
Lineage: Bacteria
Description: partial 16S ribosomal RNA
Rfam family: Bacterial small subunit ribosomal RNA
Source: RNAcentral
UACAGAGGGGGCAAGCGUUAAUCGGAAUUACUGGGCGUAAAGCGUGCGCAGGCGGUUUGCUAAGACCGAUGUGAAAUCCCCGGGCUCAACCUGGGAACUGCAUUGGUGACUGGCAGGCUAGAGUAUGGCAGAGGGGGGUAGAAUUCCACGUGUAGCAGUGAAAUGCGUAGAGAUGUGGAGGAAUACCGAUGGCGAAGGCAGCCCCCUGGGCCAAUACUGACGCUCAUGCACGAAAGCGUGGGGAGCAAACAGG